Molecule: non-coding RNA, 98 nt
Organism: Podarcis lilfordi (Lilford's wall lizard)
Lineage: Eukaryota; Metazoa; Chordata; Lepidosauria; Squamata; Lacertidae
Source: the annotation of a GenBank genome assembly
UCUAUUCAGACUAGGUCUCUCCAUAGUUUUUAGUUUUAAGAAUUUUAGUUUUAAUAAAUACCAAACUAAAAACUAUGGAGAGACCUUGUCUGAAUAGA